UGGGGAAUUUUGGACAAUGGGCGAAAGCCUGAUCCAGCAAUGCCGCGUGUGUGAAGAAGGCCUUCGGGUUGUAAAGCACUUUUGUCCGGAAAGAAAUCCUUGGCUCUAAUACAGUCGGGGGAUGACGGUACCGGAAGAAUAAGCACCGGCUAACUACGUGCCAGCAGCCGCGGUAAUACGUAGGGUGCAAGCGUUAAUCGGAAUUACUGGGCGUAAAGCGUGCGCAGGCGGUUUGCUAAGACCGAUGUGAAAUCCCCGGGCUCAACCUGGGAACUGCAUUGGUGACUGGCAGGCUAGAGUAUGGCAGAGGGGGGUAGAAUUCCACGUGUAGCAGUGAAAUGCGUAGAGAUGUGGAGAAUAACGAUGGCGAAGGCAGCCCCCUGGGCCAAUACUGACGCUCAUGCACGAAAGCGUGGGGAGCAAACAGGAUUAGAUACCCUGGUAGUCCACGCCCUAAACGAUGUCAACUAGUUGUUGGGGAUUCAUUUCCUUAGUAACGUAGCUAACGCGUGAAGUUGACUGCCUGGGGAGUACGGUCGCAAGAUUAAAACUCAAAGGAAUUGACGGGGUC
RNAcentral lists this ribosomal RNA (571 nucleotides) under uncultured bacterium. RNAcentral's name for it is "partial 16S ribosomal RNA". It matches the Rfam family "Bacterial small subunit ribosomal RNA", at positions 355 to 920 of the family's 1533-position model. The record is from RNAcentral.